Molecule: ribosomal RNA, 774 nt
Filed under: Klebsiella pneumoniae
Lineage: Bacteria; Pseudomonadati; Pseudomonadota; Gammaproteobacteria; Enterobacterales; Enterobacteriaceae
Description: bacterial SSU rRNA
Rfam family: Bacterial small subunit ribosomal RNA
Source: RNAcentral
GAAGCUUGCUCUCGGGUGACGAGCGGCGGACGGGUGAGUAAUGUCUGGGAAACUGCCUGAUGGAGGGGGAUAACUACUGGAAACGGUAGCUAAUACCGCAUAACGUCGCAAGACCAAAGUGGGGGACCUUCGGGCCUCAUGCCAUCAGAUGUGCCCAGAUGGGAUUAGCUAGUAGGUGGGGUAACGGCUCACCUAGGCGACGAUCCCUAGCUGGUCUGAGAGGAUGACCAGCCACACUGGAACUGAGACACGGUCCAGACUCCUACGGGAGGCAGCAGUGGGGAAUAUUGCACAAUGGGCGCAAGCCUGAUGCAGCCAUGCCGCGUGUGUGAAGAAGGCCUUCGGGUUGUAAAGCACUUUCAGCGGGGAGGAAGGCGAUAAGGUUAAUAACCUCAUCGAUUGACGUUACCCGCAGAAGAAGCACCGGCUAACUCCGUGCCAGCAGCCGCGGUAAUACGGAGGGUGCAAGCGUUAAUCGGAAUUACUGGGCGUAAAGCGCACGCAGGCGGUCUGUCAAGUCGGAUGUGAAAUCCCCGGGCUCAACCUGGGAACUGCAUUCGAAACUGGCAGGCUAGAGUCUUGUAGAGGGGGGUAGAAUUCCAGGGUGUAGCGGUGAAAUGCGUAGAGAUCUGGGAGGAAUACCGGGGGGCGAAGGGCGGCCCCCUGGGACAAGACUGACGCUCAGGUGCGAAAGCGUGGGGGAGCAAACAGGAUUAGAUACCCUGGGUAGUCCACGCCGUAACGAUGUCGAUUUGGAGGUUGUGCCCUUGAGGC